RNAcentral lists this ribosomal RNA (406 nucleotides) under uncultured bacterium. RNAcentral describes it as "partial 16S ribosomal RNA". It matches the Rfam family "Bacterial small subunit ribosomal RNA", at positions 30 to 526 of the family's 1533-position model. The record is from RNAcentral.
AUUGAACGCUGGCGGCAGGCCUAACACAUGCAAGUCGAACGAGUGGCGGACGGGUGAGUGAUGUCUGGGAAACUGCCUGAUGGAGGGGGGUAACUGCUGAAAAAUGUAGCUAAUACCGCAUACCAUCGGAUGUGCCCAGAUGGGUUUAGCUAGGAGGUGGUGUAAAGGCUCCCCUAGGCGACGAUCCCUAGCUGGUCUGAGAGGAUGACCAGCCACACUGGAACGGAGACACGUUCCAGAUUCCUACGGGAGGCAGCAGUGGGGAAUAUUGCACAUGGGGCGCAAGCCUGAUGCAGCCAUGCCGCGUGUAUGAAGAAGGCCUUCGGGUUGUAAAGUACUUUCAGCGGGGAGGCGUUACCCGCAGAAGAAGCACCGGCUAACUCCGUGCCAGCAGCCGCGGUAAUAC